This is a long non-coding RNA of Pogoniulus pusillus (Red-fronted tinkerbird), 350 nucleotides long. RefSeq lists it as uncharacterized. The record is from RefSeq and is a predicted model, not a curated record. The transcript is spliced from 3 exons. NCBI's taxonomy places the organism in Eukaryota, Metazoa, Chordata, Aves, Piciformes, Lybiidae.
AAGCCGCCUCAGCCGCCUCAAGCCGCCUCAGCCGCCUCAGCCGCCUCAAGCCGCCUCAGCCGCCUCAGCGCGCAGCUGAUUUCACUGCGCGGCCCACGUGGAAUUCGCCACAGGACUUCUGUUGGAUAUUUUCCUGCCUAUGCUUUUGGGCUACGGACAUUAGGACUAGUCCAGUGAAUCUUGGUAGACUUUUUGCACCAGGACAUAGCAUUAAGAGAGAAGGUGCACACUGUGGAUUUCCAUGCUCAAGUCCCUGAUUUAAAAAACAGUUGUGUCCAGCAAUCCUGGUAUCUGUAUUCUCCCAUGCUACAAUGGGAAAAGAAGAUAUUGCAUCUGAGCAACGAGACGGA